RNAcentral lists this ribosomal RNA (215 nucleotides) under uncultured bacterium. Its description in RNAcentral is "partial 16S ribosomal RNA". It matches the Rfam family "Bacterial small subunit ribosomal RNA", at positions 1285 to 1500 of the family's 1533-position model. The record is from RNAcentral.
GUCUCAGUUCGGAUUGAAGGCUGAAAUUCGCCUUCAUGAAGCCGGAAUUGCUAGUAAUGGCAGGUCAGCAUACUGCCGUGAAUACGUUCCCGGGCCUUGUACACACCGCCCGUCACACCAUGAGAGUUGGGAAUACCCGAAGCCUGUGAGCUAACUUUUAGAGGCAGCAGUCGAAGGUAGAAUCAAUGAUUGGGGUGAAGUCGUAACAAGGUAUC